RNAcentral lists this unclassified non-coding RNA (200 nucleotides) under soil metagenome. RNAcentral's name for it is "partial contains internal transcribed spacer 2 and large subunit ribosomal RNA". The record is from RNAcentral.
GAAUAAACAAGCGGCUCAUCUGAAAUGCCUGAGUGUACCCCGCUUUGCGGCGUAUUCGGUGUGAUAAAUCUUCACCGGAGUUGAUCCCUUUAUGGGGUCGCGUCUGUAAUAAUGUGGCUCUAUGCUUCAAACCGUCUUCUAUCGAGACAAAUAUCUGACAAUUUGACCUCAAAUCGGGUGGGACUACCCGCUGAACUUAA